Molecule: long non-coding RNA, 2083 nt
Filed under: Olea europaea subsp. europaea
Lineage: Eukaryota; Viridiplantae; Streptophyta; Magnoliopsida; Lamiales; Oleaceae
Source: RNAcentral
GUUGGAUUUCCUUUGUGCAUCCAGCGCUAAGCAUGAAUAUGAGGGUAAAGGGGAUGGUAAAACACGGUUAAAAACCUGUGAUCCUCAUGCAAAACGAACUAUAACCAGCUCUGAUUCUCCUCAGGAGGUUGAAGAUAAGAAGGAAAUAAUCUUCACGUACGAUGUUGAGUUUAAGGUAAUAUUUUGCGACAGACUGUGGCUAUAAUAACUAUAUGAUGGAAAAAGCUGGCAUUAUGGUCGUAUGUCAUUGUGCUUUUCUCCUUGCCUUGUAGGAGAGCGAAGUCAAGUGGGCAUCCAGAUGGGAUACUUAUCUUUUGAUGACUGAUGAUCAAAUUCAUUGGUUCUCAAUUGUAAAUUCUUUGAUGAUUGUUCUUUUCCUUUCGGGUAUGGUGGCCAUGAUUAUGUUGCGUACCCUCUACCGUGACAUCUCUAAGUACAAUCAAUUAGAGACCCAGGAAGAAGCUCAAGAAGAAACUGGAUGGAAAUUAGUUCAUGGAGAUGUUUUCAGGCCUCCAACAAACUCUGAUCUACUCUGUGUUUAUGUUGGAACUGGCGUUCAGUUUUUUGGGAUGAUACUAGUUACCAUGAUCUUUGCUGCACUUGGAUUCUUAUCCCCAUCUAACCGAGGAGGGUUGAUGACAGCUAUGCUUCUUCUCUGGGCAUUCAUGGGCCUGCUUGCUGGAUAUGCCUCAUCUCGUCUUUACAAGAUGUUCAAAGGAACAGAGUGGAAGAAAAUUACUCUUCAAACCGCUUUCACCUUCCCUGGAAUUAUCUUUGCCAUUUUCUUUGUAUUGAAUGCUCUGAUUUGGGGCGAGAAAUCCUCAGGCGCUGUGCCAUUUGGAACCAUGUUUGCAUUAGUGUUCUUGUGGUUUGGUAUUUCGGUUCCUCUUGUCUUUGUUGGUAGUUAUGUAGGGUUUAGGAAGCCAGCUAUUGACAAUCCAGUGAAAACCAACAAGAUUCCAAGGCAAAUUCCUGAGCAGGCCUGGUACAUGAACCCAAUUUUCUCUAUCCUAAUUGGAGGCAUACUCCCAUUUGGCGCAGUAUUUAUUGAGCUGUUCUUCAUUUUAACAUCAAUCUGGUUGCAUCAGUUCUAUUACAUUUUCGGGUUCCUCUUCCUUGUGUUCGUAAUACUAAUCAUAACAUGUGCUGAGAUCACAAUCGUGCUCUGCUAUUUCCAGCUGUGCAGUGAGGAUUAUCUCUGGUGGUGGAGAUCAUAUCUGACAUCAGGGUCAUCAGCACUCUACCUCUUACUUUAUGCAGCUUUUUACUUCUUCACAAAGCUCGACAUCACAAAACCAGUAUCUGGUGUUCUCUACUUUGGGUACAUGCUGAUUGCUUCAUAUGCUUUCUUCGUGCUGACUGGUACAAUUGGUUUCUAUGCAUGUUUCUCGUUUACAAGGCUCAUCUACUCCUCGGUGAAGAUUGACUAAGUGAUGGGACGUUGAAGUAAGUGUUUAUAGUCCCUCAAGAAAGCUUAUUAAACUCCUGGGGCCUUUUUUCAAAAGUUAUGCUCGGUGUAACCUUUGAACUCCCUAAAGGUAGAAGUUAUCUUGCUCAUCUCCUUUGCAUUUAUAAUUUUGGUUUUGUAUGGAGACUUUACUUGUUUUUGAACUGUCCCAUUUUAGUUAUAACGAGAAUACUUAUUGUAAUGAUACUUUUGUUGAUGAAAUAUGUGUAAGGUACUUCUUUCCUAUUUGUCACAGCUAAAAUUGUUGUGAAACUGCUGAAUUUUGUAUUCUUCCAUCAAAUAGAUGCAGUCUCAUCUUCGUUGCAGUUAAAAAUAUCUACUGUUCCUACAAAGGCAGAAGCUGGCAAAACCUUUCGUUGUUUGCUACUUGUUAUAUAAUGGCUGCUCUCUGUGUAAAGCAAGCAGCCCAAGGAUUUCCUCUCUGCAGAAAUCCCCCAUCGUUAAAGGACGUGCUUCGUACUCUGUAUUUUAACCUUUCUGUCUGUAAUAUUGUCGAGUACUGACUUACACUAUGAAGCCUUCACAGGGUCAAUCCUCUCUUUCAUUAGAGAAGUCACUGGAAUAUGUAGAAUCUAAAUGGGAAGAUUAGAAGAUCUAGGCCAAGUCCAUGUCAAC